Molecule: long non-coding RNA, 722 nt
Filed under: Diabrotica virgifera virgifera (western corn rootworm)
Lineage: Eukaryota; Metazoa; Arthropoda; Insecta; Coleoptera; Chrysomelidae
Description: uncharacterized LOC126886487
Source: RNAcentral
CGGUCUUUUCACCUCCGAAUAAAUAUGCUCUUAUCUGGCAGUUAGCUAUCUGGAGGAUAAAUAUUUAUUCGCCAGAUAAAAAGUACCCGUCUUUUCACGUCAAUUUAUGUUCCAGUUAGUUAUCCGGUAGAUAAGCUUAAAAGUAAGUUUGGAUUCCGAACACACCUGACUUUUAUGUUUAUUUUUAUAAUUUCAGCUUUAACUUAACCUAACAUAAUUAGAUUCAAAGUAUUUCAAAGAUGAUUUUAUCGAUUUUAUUUCCAUUUUGGAAGAAGGAAUGAAGGAAAUAAGGAAAACAUUGAUUAUGCUGAAAUAGUUUACUGGAGAGCUUGAACAAGAGGUAAAUCCAUUUUAAAUUAGAGGAAAACUGUUGAUUUGUAUGUAAAAUAGAAGACAAAGACAAGUUUAAAUAAAGACAAGCUAGCUAAUGAAACAGAUGCAGUGAUAUGACAAACACCUAGAAGAUGGAAUCCUGUGUUCUCAAAGAAAAAGCUAGUUCCAGAAAUAAGCUACCAAUAAUAAACUAGAGAAUGUAUUACAAGAAAGAACAACGCUAAUACCCAACAUAGCUCAAUUGCUUCAGAUAGAAAAAGAGGAGGAAAGGGUAGAACACAAGCGUGCCAGAGAAAAUUAAAGGGCAGAAGAGACACAAAAAUUCAUUGAUUUAUUAAAUUUAAUAAUUAAAUUAUACAAAGGACAAUUAAAUAAAGAAUAAAAAAUUA